UGGCUGACGUUGGUCAUUACUUGACAUCUUGUAGAUGGCUGCAACAGUUUGAAGGGAUAUUUAUGGUAACUGGCCCACUUUUUAUUUGUAACCUCCAUUGUGAUUGAUCGUCUCUCACAACAUGGCAUGAUGCUACUAAAUGUCACACCUUCAUAGCAGUUGCAGAUGUCAGAAAUUACGUAAUUAAACCAGAUGUCCAGCUGGCCUAAUUUAGCAUGACUUCAAAUACUUUUAAUAGAUGGCCGAAUUCAAUUUAACACUGACAGGACUACGUAGGUGUGGUCUGUAUGCUCUUUCAAUUUCACUAUAAAAUACACUCCUUUCCUGUUUUUGACAGUGUCAUCAGAAGCAUUACCAGCAAUGAUUCAUUAUACAUGUUUCCAUUCCACCACAACUUCUGGUAAAUAGCUAACACCACUGCAUUCUCAUCAGUAUUUAUUGGAGUGCAUGACCUAAAUACUUCUAAAUGGUGGACAAACGUUUCAAUUAAAGAUAACUGAGCCACAAGGUCAGUGACCUGUGGGCUCUUGGGUUCAUCCAAGUUUUUCCCUCAUGUUCUAACAUGCAUCAGUGGGGUGAUACGUUACACUCGCCAAUGACCAUUAAUUACAACACACCACGGUAUUGAAAUACUACAAACACACUCUUUGCAUAUUUUUAUAUAGUUAUAUAGUUUGACUCUAAGUAGACUUAGGUAAUUGAGUUAAAAGGAUACGGUUAGCAGCUUUGAGGUUUAAGCAAAUGGUGCUUUACCAAAAUGAUGGGACCAGUAUGUGAUUUGUAUACUCUUCACCACGCAAGAGACACCACAUUGCGUCCUCAGUAUCACAACUUGUGUGACCUGUAAAAUAGUGGGCAACAACUGCACCUUUGAGUUGUAAGGUUGUGGCCUGUCUGAUAACUGGACUAUCACAGAUUCGGACCGUUGGAAUGUGGACGCCCUCUGUCGGAUGUCACCUAGUGAAGUUGCUGUCGGCAUUAGACCCUCUCGCUUGAAUGGGUACUGUUGCCUCUAAGAAGAACCUCCGGUCUUGUUGUGGAUGUAACACUGUCCCAGAUGUGCAGGACUAAACGCAAUUGCUGAUUUUUUUCCCACAAAACGAAUGCAAAGUGAGACACGCAGCUAAAUUGUCACCACUGCCGGCUUCGUCUUGUAUCUGAUAAUAAAGGCCACAGAAGUUCUCAGCAUGGCAGAGCACCUAUCGCAGAGUGAACUGGACUACCCUUUCAAACUGCUGGAAUAUUUCAACGGCUUCAGAGUCUCUAAGGUUGUAUGCAGUGGACUGAAAAUCUCUUCGAAAAUAUUCCCAUCAGUGUUGUUCGCAGGUCCCUUCACUGGUUACAGUCACACUGGAAUUAAAACAUUUGCCAUUGUUGAUUGAUGUAUUCUUGUACUGGAAUGUACGAAAUGCAACUGCUGAAGGAAAAGAAGGAACAAGCAACUCAGUCUGUCUGCAGACUCCCAAAACAAGGCACAUGCCUUGCCCUCACGAGGGAUGAAUACAUUUUUGUCAAAAGCCCUAAACAAGCAUCUUGCCUUAAGGCAGUGGUUAUCAAAGUGUGGGGAGGGGGCAGAGUUACAUGAAGGGGGGUGCGGAUUGAGAGGGAAAAAAUUGAACGAGAACCCUAAACAACACACUAUUGGUCAAAUGAAAUAUGGCAGUGCUCAUACAGAAUACUAGCCUGCAACCUCUAACCUAUUUGGUGAUGAGGUAAUAGCCUACUUAGCCUACUGGAACGAUACAAACCCAAUCAUGAAACCAUAUUCGAUGCGGCCAGAAUUAAACAAGAGCUCUGCUUAA
Molecule: long non-coding RNA, 1802 nt
Organism: Clupea harengus (Atlantic herring)
Lineage: Eukaryota; Metazoa; Chordata; Actinopteri; Clupeiformes; Clupeidae
Source: Ensembl